RNAcentral lists this ribosomal RNA (274 nucleotides) under uncultured bacterium. RNAcentral's name for it is "partial 16S ribosomal RNA". It matches the Rfam family "Archaeal small subunit ribosomal RNA", at positions 473 to 747 of the family's 1478-position model. The record is from RNAcentral.
AAACCAGCACCUCAAGUGGUCAGGAGGAUUAUUGGGCCUAAAGCAUCCGUAGCCUGUUCUAUAAGUUUUCGGUUAAAUCCAUUAGCUCAACUAAUGGGCCGCCGAAAAUACUGUAGAACUAGGGAGUGGGAGAGGUAGACGGUAUUCGGUAGGAAGGGGUAAAAUCCUUUGAUCUAUUGAGGACCACCUGUGGUGAAGGCGGUCUACCAGAACACGUUCGACGGUGAGGGAUGAAAGCUGGGGGAGCAAACCGGAUUAGAAACCCUGGUAGUCC